CUUCUAAUCUACUGGAUAGAUUGAAAUACUGGCAAAAUAAGUUCCUGGGAGUAACGAAGCAUUUUACUGGAUUAUAGCAAAUCACUCUGCCCACACCCGAGGCUGCAGCCAGAAACCACGGAAACUGACAGACGCCAGCAAAAAGAAAGAAAAAGUUAAGAAAUUUCUUACCAGUAAUCCUCCUUGGGUUUCUGCCUUAGGACUAGUCAGGUGGAAUCCUACUCUGUCGCCAGGCUGGAGUAUAGUGGUGUGAUCUUGGCUCACUGCAACCUCUGCCUCCCAGGUUCAAGCGAUUCCCCUGCCUCAGGCUCUGGAGUAGCAGCAGCUGGGACUACAGGUGCGUGCCACAGUGCCUGGCUAAUUUUUUGUAUUUUAGUAGAGACGGGGUUUCACCAUGUUGGCCAGGAUGGUCUCGAUCUCCUGACCUCGUGAUUCACCCACCUCGGCCUCCCAAAAUGCUGGGAUUACAGGCAUGAGCCACUGUGCCCAGCCCAACUUUGCUUUCUUGAGCUAUUGUAGCAGGACAAGCCGCAGACAAAACCCCUCAGACACCAAGUUGUAGAAGGAAGGGCUUUAUUCAGCUGGGAGCAUCGGCAAGCUAC
This 602-nucleotide long non-coding RNA is filed under the name Homo sapiens (human). Its description in RNAcentral is "HSALNT0057963". The record is from RNAcentral. Lineage: Eukaryota; Metazoa; Chordata; Mammalia; Primates; Hominidae.